RNAcentral lists this ribosomal RNA (490 nucleotides) under uncultured bacterium. RNAcentral's name for it is "partial 16S ribosomal RNA". It matches the Rfam family "Bacterial small subunit ribosomal RNA", at positions 30 to 507 of the family's 1533-position model. The record is from RNAcentral.
AUUGAACGCUGGCGGCAGGCCUAACACAUGCAAGUCGAACGGUAACAGAAAGCAGCUUGCUGCUUUGCUGACGAGUGGCGGACGGGUGAGUAAUGUCUGGGAAACUGCCUGAUGGAGGGGGAUAACUACUGGAAACGGUAGCUAAUACCGCAUAACGUCGCAAGACCAAAGAGGGGGACCUUCGGGCCUCUUGCCAUCGGAUGUGCCCAGAUGGGAUUAGCUAGUAGGUGGGGUAACGGCUCACCUAGGCGACGAUCCCUAGCUGGUCUGAGAGGAUGACCAGCCACACUGGAACUGAGACACGGUCCAGACUCCUACGGGAGGCAGCAGUGGGGAAUAUUGCACAAUGGGCGCAAGCCUGAUGCAGCCAUGCCGCGUGUAUGAAGAAGGCCUUCGGGUUGUAAAGUACUUUCAGCGGGGAGGAAGGGAGUAAAGUUAAUACCUUUGCUCAUUGACGUUACCCGCAGAAGAAGCUCCGGCUAACUCCGUG